Molecule: ribosomal RNA, 231 nt
Filed under: uncultured bacterium
Lineage: Bacteria
Description: partial 16S ribosomal RNA
Rfam family: Bacterial small subunit ribosomal RNA
Source: RNAcentral
CGGAAUUACUGGGCGUAAAGCGCACGUAGGCGGAUUGUUAAGUCGGGGGUGAAAUCCUGGAGCUCAACUCCAGAACUGCCUUCGAUACUGGCGAUCUCGAGUUCGAGAGAGGUGAGUGGAACUGCGAGUGUAGAGGUGAAAUUCGUAGAUAUUCGCAAGAACACCAGUGGCGAAGGCGGCUCACUGGCCCGAUACUGACGCUGAGGUGCGAAAGCGUGGGGAGCAAACAGG